Molecule: ribosomal RNA, 484 nt
Filed under: uncultured bacterium
Lineage: Bacteria
Description: partial 16S ribosomal RNA
Rfam family: Bacterial small subunit ribosomal RNA
Source: RNAcentral
AUUGAACGCUGGCGGCAGGCCUAACACAUGCAAGUCGAGCGGAUGAAGGGAGCUUGCUCCUGGAUUCAGCGGCGGACGGGUGAGUAAUGCCUAGGAAUCUGCCUGGUAGUGGGGGAUAACGUCCGGAAACGGGCGCUAAUACCGCAUACGUCCUGAGGGAGAAAGUGGGGGAUCUUCGGACCUCACGCUAUCAGAUGAGCCUAGGUCGGAUUAGCUAGUUGGUGGGGUAAAGGCCUACCAAGGCGACGAUCCGUAACUGGUCUGAGAGGAUGAUCAGUCACACUGGAACUGGGACACGGACCAGACUCCUGCGGGAGGCAGCAGUGGGGAAUAUUGGACAAUGGGCGAAAGCCUGAUCCAGCCAUGCCGCGUGUGUGAAGAAGGUCUUCGGAUUGUAAAGCACUUUAAGUUGGGAGGAAGGGCAGUAAGUUAAUACCUUGCUGUUUUGACGUUACCAACAGAAUAAGCACCGGCUAACUUCGUG